Pecten maximus is the source of this 6635-nucleotide long non-coding RNA. RefSeq lists it as uncharacterized. Lineage: Eukaryota; Metazoa; Mollusca; Bivalvia; Pectinida; Pectinidae. The record is from RefSeq and is a predicted model, not a curated record. The transcript is spliced from 2 exons.
UUAAUCAACAGCUGUAAUGAUUAACUGAUGGUCUGAGAGUUGAAUAACACAGGAUAUUGUGGUAGAAAAUUAUAUACAUGAUACAGUAUUAUAGAUGAAGUUAAUACAUACUUAUUGAUUUUAAUUAUAUAUGAUUGACAGUUAUUGCCAUAUCAAUAAUAAUGUAAUGAGCCCAAAGGGGCCAAUACAACAAAACCCAAAGGAGAGGGAUGGGCUUAUAUAAGAAAGAUGCUCAAGUGUAAUAGACAUUGUUGGCUUAUUGUUGGAUAAAUACCUUAUUCAACAAUUUUCAUAAAACAGGGAAAUGUAUCAGUCACUGUAAUAGAAUGAUGAGUUUCUGUCAUCUUACUGUAUUUUGAAACCUGUUUUCAGUUUCUGAAUUAGAAACAAAUGCAUGUCUAGAAUGAUGAUCCACAUGUGUCAAAUAUAUUGAUAUAUAAUAUAAAAUUCAUGUAUUAAUUACAAUGUCUAAAUCCUAUCUGUGUAUGAUAGAUUUAGAUAUUUUCUUGUUAGAUUGUUGGGGACCAAAUUAUCUAUGUGUUGCUAAGAUAAGUCAAUAUUAAUGCGAAGCGCUAUAAAAGAUGAAGUUUAUUCAUUUAUCUUAUAACUGAGAUAUAAGUUAUACCUGUUUAUAUACAGUAAAUAUGGUAAUCAUUUUUGUUGGCCUGGUUCGAAGCUCAUAAGGGAUUUUUACUGAAGAGGAAGCCAUAGUUGGUUUCUAAGUGUUAAGAGUUUGGUUCAAGUGUUUGAAGGCAUCAUUAGUAAACUCCCUUAUAUGUGUACUAGUGUGAGGUAGAGUGAUAUAAAAUAUGAGGCAAGCUUUAUACUGAUGAUGAGGCGAGCUUUGUACUGAUGGUGAACUCGGCCCCUAAUUCUAGUGUGAGGUAUAGUGAUAUAAAAUAUGAGGCGAGCUUUGUACUGAUGGUGAACUCGGCCCCUAAUUCUAGUGUGAGGUAUAGUGAUAUAAAAUAUGAGGCGAGCUUUGUACUGAUGGUGAACUCGGCCCCUAAUUCUAGUAUUAGGGGUAUAGUGAUAUAAAAUAUGAUGUGAGCUUUGUACUGAUGGUGAACUGAUCAGCCCCAAAUUCUAGUGUUAGGUAUAGUGAUAUAAAAUAUGAGGCAAGCUUUAUACUGAUGGUGAACUCGGCCCCUAAUUCUAGUGUUAGGUAUAGUGAUAUAAAAUAUGAGGUGAGCUUUGUACUGAUGGUGAACUCGGCCCCUAAUUCUAGUGUUAGGUAUAGUGAUAUAAAAUAUGAGGCGAGCUUUAUACUGAUGGUGAACUCGGCCCCUAAUUCUAGUGUGAGGUAUAGUGAUAUAAAAUAUGAUGUGAGCUUUGUACUGAUGGUGAACUCAGCCCCUAAUUCUAGUGUUAGGUAUAGUGAUAUAAAAUAUGAGGCGAGCUUUAUACUGAUGGUGAACUCGGCCCCUAAUUCUAGUGUUAGGUAUAGUGAUAUGAAAUAUGAGAUGAGCUUUGUACUGAUGGUGAAGUCCCCCCUAAUUCUAGUGUUAGGUAUAGUGAUAUGAAAUAUGAGGUGAGCUUUGUACUGAUGGUGAACUCAGCCCCUAAUUCUAGUAUUAGGGGUAUAGUGAUAUAAAAUAUGAGGCGAGCUUUAUACUGAUGGUGAACUCAGCCCCUAAUUCUAGUAUUAGGGGUAUAGUGAUAUAAAAUAUGAGGCGAGCUUUGUACUGAUGGUGAACUCAGCCCCAAAUUCUAGUGUUAGGUAUAGUGAUAUAAAAUAUGAGGCGAGCUUUGUACUGAUGGCCGAACUCAGCCCCAAAUUCUAGUGUUAGGUAUAGUGAUAUAAAAUAUGAGGCGAGCUUUAUACUGAUGGUGAACUCGGCCCCUAAUUCUAGUGUUAGGUAUAGUGAUAUAAAAUAUGAUGCGAGCUUUGUACUAAUGACGCUUCUCUUGUUUUAUUAUUAUAUUUUUUUUUUUGGGGGGGGGGGUUAAGAAAUGCACAAUUUCUCUAUUGACUCAUCGUCAGGAUAUUCAAUGAUUUUUAUUAGGAUUUAUUCUUUCCUUGAAAACACAGGCACUUGACACAAAUUCCCAACUCAUGUUCCAUAUAUUUUAAUAUAUGAUUAUACUAUAACACAUUUUGUACACACAUGUGGACUGAUGGGAUAGGGAAUUUUUGUCAGGCACUCCCCCUGUGCGUGAAAUAGCAAUAAAAUUGAACCCAUUGAAAAUUGCCUUUACAUUUAGUGGAAAAAAAAUGUUCAUACAGUUACAUGUGUCAGAAACAUGUGCCGCAGUAAUUGAAAUUCUACAACUAUUAUGUACUUUUCAUUACUUUGUAUUGUCGAAGUUUAUAUAUUCCAUGAUAUACAAAAAAUGCUGUAUAUUAAUGAUGUAAAAUUGAGCGUACUUGCUUACAGUAUGUUCAGGUCUCGUUUGAACCUGUGUUUUCUGGACAGUUAUAGAAUAUACAGUUAAACCUUAAUGUCCGUUAUUUUGAAAGUUUCAAAUUGGAGUUGAGGUCUGCUAUGUGGUAUUAGGGGCUAGCGUAGCAUGCUUCGUUGUAUUAAGUACUAUUUGCUUAAAAUUGCUCAAAUUAUUUAAAACUAUUGCUGAUGAAACUGGUGUCUACAGAUUUUAAGUAUCAAAAUUAAAACAUAAGAUUUUAUCGUGAUAUGUCUGGUGCAUAACAUUGGAAAAUUAAUAUUAAUAUAUAAUGUGUGUUUUAAAGCUUAGUGUAAACACAAAUAGAAGUAAUAUAUUUAUAUUAUUGUUGAGAUACUAAAUUUAUCCUUUUUUCAGUGACAAUUUUGUUGUAAUAAAUUAUAUCUUUUUAUGUAAACUUUAUUUAUUUUACAACAAUAUCAAAACAUGUUAUACCCACUUACAUUAAUCACUGUUGUGGUCCUGGAUGGAAACGCGCGAGGGGUCUUACUAUUGGUGGAAACUGCAGUACCCGAGAAAUGCACGUGGUCGUGCAGUUGACCCGAUACCUCUUCACGUCUGAUCGGGGAUUCAAACCCUUGCUACCUAGGUGGAAACUGUUCUUAGCUGGCUGCAGCAGGCUGCCUUAUAUUUAUUAUCUUUCUUUUUUUACCACGAUUCCUCUGUUGGUAGUGUGAUGAUAUCAAUAUAGGGGCAACGGUGGCCGAGUGGUUAAGGUGUCCUGACACUUAAUUACUGGUCCUCCACCUCUUAAGUCACGAGAUCGAAACCCACGUGGGGCAGUUACCUGGUACUGGCCGUAGGCCGGUGGUUUUUCUCCAGGUACUCCUGCUUUCCUCCACCUCCAAAACCUUGCAAGUCCUUAAAUGACCCUGGCUGUUAAUAGGAAAUUAAACAAAAUAAACCAAACCAAAAUGAUAGCAAUAUGUUUGUCGUACUAAAAUCAAUGUUGAGUAUAUAAUUUAUAUAGUUGAGAAAUAUAACUUUUGAAAAAAAAGUAAUAUAGAAUAUUUACACCAAAUAAUGUUAGUAGAUUUGACAAUUAUAAAAAAAAAUAAACAUAUUUUAUACAAAGAAGCAAUAUUGUUCCUAUACUACAGAUGCAUUUUUCUGCAGCAGUACCUAUGUUUAUGUAGGAAUGUAGAAUUACAUGUUUAAACUUGUUAGUUUAUGCCAUAUACCGGUACAAUUAAUUUAUUAACAUUCCAUUCUUUUGCUUUUUAAUUAACACAUAGUUUGCUCUAUGGAAAUUAUCUCUAUUCAGUGAUCGGUGUAGUAUUAACAGCCUCUCAUCUUCAUUAGGUUUUUUGUUAUAAACCAGGUACACUCAUCACUACUUGGCUCUAGUCGAAUGAAAAUGAACCCGCAUCGUGUACAUUUGUAUAGGAGGCAACUUAUGUGGGUCAUUGAUUUGUGCGUCUGUAAUUUUUGCUUAAUGUGAAGUGUGCCACCUCUUCUUGCAGUGUAUAUAGGGCCUAAUUUGUUUUUCUCUGAAUAUUGGUAUUUUUCUUCAUAAAAAAACCACUAAUGUUGCAGAAAAGGAUCAGUAGCAUAAUGUAUUAUCUCAGUUUCAAAUGACCCGUGAUAGAAUCCAAGUGUGUUUGAGAAGUGGAAACAUAUGGAUGUAUUUUUGUAAUGAAUAAAUCUUUGCUAUUGUAAACGUGAAAAUAUUUCCAAUUAAGUUAGAAAAAAUAGAAUUCUUGAUAUAAAUCAUAGCAGUUUAUACUACAAAGCAGGUAAUAAUUCUUGUUGUCCUGGUUCGACAUUCAUGAGAUUGGUCGCUUGGAUACUCUACCUUAAGGAACAAUGAGAAAAAACCUUAACAAAUUUCCCGACAACACUGGUUGAACGUCCUUACUCUCCUACAUAUCUCUUCACUUUGUCUGCUGUCAGAAAUUUUCUCCUAGUCACCCGUUUUCAUAAUGACUUUUACUCUUGUGUGAUGUAAAACUGUAAACAAAAAUAAACUGUACACAAGUAAAUAAAUACAUGUUAUAAAAAUUAACAGAUUAUUUUGAUGAUGUUACUUAAUUGUAAUCCAUUUUUUUUACAGUUUGUUUCGAAGUAUAGCCAUUGAUUAAUUAAUUUUUCUGGAAGACUACAUAGACUUAUAGAAACGUGUAGAUAUAUAUGGUAAAGUGUUUCUAUUUUUGCUCUAUUCUCUUUUAGAUUUGUUGAUUUUGAAGUGAAGUUUAGUCAGUAUUUAACUUCAGAUGUGAACUAAAAACAAUCUCACAAAUAAGUCACACUUCAACACAUUGACAUGAACUCAAUUAACUGUACCCAAGAAUUAAUGUGAUUGUGUUGUGUAUUAAAAGGUGUUGCACAGGGUUAGUUAUUCACCACAAGGGAUUCUGUGAAUACUACAGAGGCUUGACAUGUUCUAGGGGUCGACCUGAGGUUUUUUUUACAUUUUGGGUCAUAGGAAGAAAAUUGACAAUAUAAAGUGAACUAGGGGCGGACCCUAGGGUUAAUUUUCCAUUCUGGGUCAUAGGAACGCGUGAUUAUAAGUAAACUAGGGGCGGACCCUAGGGUUAUUUUUUAUUCUGGAUCACAUGAAUAUGUCAAGCCCGGUGGUAUUUACCUAGACAUUUUUUUGUUUAAUUUCACUAUUAUACUAUUGGUAUUCUCUGUAUGUGUCCAUAAAGCUUAAGAAUUAGUAUUAGAUUUUAGUAAUUGUAAUGUAUAUCAUAUGUAUAUUGUAUGUUGUAUUUUGUUGACAAUCCUGUAUGAUUGUGUUCAAGAUAUUUCUAAUUGUACGAAUCAUUCUUGACCUAAAAUAAAACCCUUAUCGAAUGAUAUUAUGAAACAACAAAUAUAUUGAGACGAAUAUACACACAUGGAGAAACAAGAUGUAUUUUUUAUAUUAUACCUACGAAAAUACAAAACUAUGUUAUAUAUGAAAUAUGAAUGAUACUAAAAUAUAAAUAUAGAUUAAACUCGUAUAACUAACUUAGUGAUGUAUCAAGUCUAAACUGAAAGUAUGUGGAUUAUUGAGAAACAAUUUUUUUUAAUUAAUUGACCGAAGAGAAAUAAAAUUAUUAUUAACCAUCGACAAUUUGAGACAUUUUAAAUGUGAAAUUAUAACUCAUAACUUAUCUAUUACAAGAUUUUGUAAGUUACUUUUUGCAGGAUUUUUUUGGCAGUUUUACGAAAAAGUUAUUUAUCGAGGAAAUUAUGAACAUUUUUUUCCUCGUUUUAUUUCAAUGUAUCGAUUUUUUUUGUGAUUUUAUUUUUUAAUUAAACGGCUGAAAUAUAUCCAUUCUAAAAUGGUUUUUACACUUUUUAGUCACUAUUGUUUAACUGUGUCGCUAAGAAAAAAUGUUUUGUUUGUGAUACUUAAAAUUGUGAUUAAAUUGAUAGGUGUAUAUAUAUUGAGUUCCAUGUGCUCGCUACAUUUUACGUAAAUAUUGGAUGUUAGGCUGUGAUUUGUAUUGAUAAAUAAACCAUCUAUUGAAGAGGAUACCGAAAUUCCUUUUUGUAUUUUCAAGUGUGAAAAUCGGUUUAAGUGAUGUUAACUAAUCCAAGGUAGGUUUUUGAGGCAUGCACAAAGGAUAAUUAUUACUAUACAUGUACAUAUUUUAGCGUACUAAAAUAGAAUAAAAAACCGAUUUUAUGAAAAUGAACAAAGUGAUGUAUUACAAUCUUUAAAAACAAUAUAAAGAAAUUGUAUUUUGUUAAAUCAUAAUUUAGCAUAAUAAUAUUCGAUGAAUAUAGCGUUAUAAAGAAUCAGUAUAUUGAAAAAAACUGGUUUCGUUUGAAUUCUAAAGAUAAACUUAACUGACCCUGAAACGAGUGUCACUGAUGUACCGAAUAGCUACUCAAAAUGGCAUAUUCAUUUUACAUAAGAUUUUAUUCCUUUCUUUUAAAAAAUAAAAUGGAUAUUUUACCAAAAGGUUUUUUCCAGUUAAUGCCAUACUAAGUAUAAGCUAAUGUCACUGCGAAAUCCUAUUCUAAUAUGAUAUUUUGAUAGACAAGACAUUAACCAAUUACAAAACCAAACAAAAAAUAAUCAUUUUUAUGCGAUUUCUAUCUGUCAUAAAGAAGCGUUAUCAAGUGUUCCUGUACAUGUAUGUACUCGAGGCAAUAUGAUUUAAAAUACUUACCGAUAUUUCAUUGUCCCCUUCUGUAGUGAAUGGUGUUUGACCUCUGUCCUGUAAAUAUUGCAAGGUCGAUAUUAUAUAGACGUUACUGGUAUUGAUUAUUUUAAUAAAGAAAGAUGUUUUAUUGUA